RNAcentral lists this ribosomal RNA (403 nucleotides) under uncultured bacterium. RNAcentral describes it as "partial 16S ribosomal RNA". It matches the Rfam family "Bacterial small subunit ribosomal RNA", at positions 28 to 526 of the family's 1533-position model. The record is from RNAcentral.
GACGAACGCUGGCGGCGUGCCUAAUACAUGCAAGUCGAACGCAGUGGGGACGGGUGAGUAACACGUGGGUAACCUCCCAUCAGAGGGGAUAACAAUUGGAAACAAGUGCUAAACCGCUACUGAUGGAUGGACCCGCGUGGCAUUAGCUAGUUGGUGGGGUAACGGCUCACCAAGCCCACGAUGCAUAGCCGACCUGAGAGGAUGAUCGGCCACACUGGAACUGAGACACGGCCCAGACUCCUACGGGAGGCAGCAGUAGGGAAUCUUCGGCAAUGGACGAAAGUCUGACCGAGCAACGCCGCGUGAGUGAAGAAGGUUUUCGGAUCGUAAAACUCUGUUGAUAGAGAAGCGGUAUCUAAACAGAAAGCCCCGGCUAACUCCGUGCCAGCAGCCGCGGUAAUUC